AUUGAACGCUGGCGGCAUGCUUUACACAUGCAAGUCGAACGGCAGCGCGGGCUUCGGCCUGGCGGCGAGUGGCGAACGGGUGAGUAAUGCAUCGGAACGUGCCCAGUAGUGGGGGAUAGCCCGGCGAAAGCCGGCUUAAUACCGCAUACGACCUGAGGGUGAAAGCGGGGGACCGAAAGGCCUCGCGCUAUUGGAGCGGCCGAUGUCGGAUUAGCUAGUUGGUGGGGUAAAGGCUUACCAAGGCGACGAUCCGUAGCUGGUCUGAGAGGACGACCAGCCACACUGGGACUGAGACACGGCCCAGACUCCUACGGGAGGCAGCAGUGGGGAAUUUUGGACAAUGGGGGCAACCCUGAUCCAGCCAUGCCGCGUGAGGGAAGAAGGCCUUCGGGUUGUAAACCGCUUUUGUUCGGGAAGAAAUCCUCUGGGCUAAUACCCCGGGGGGAUGACGGUACCGGAAGAAUAAGCACCGGCUAACUACGUG
This 484-nucleotide ribosomal RNA is filed under the name uncultured bacterium. RNAcentral's name for it is "partial 16S ribosomal RNA". It matches the Rfam family "Bacterial small subunit ribosomal RNA", at positions 28 to 507 of the family's 1533-position model. The record is from RNAcentral.